CGGGAGGCUGAGGGCUGUGAUAAAGAUCAAGUGCCCACAGCCCUCCCGUCUCUUCCACCCCACCCGGGGCUGCCUCCUGAAGCCUGGCCUCAGUGCAGGAUCCAAAUUCCCAGCAAAGCACAAACAACCAUGGCAAGAAACUGCCUGGAGUGCCUUCUGUCACCUUGUCACCAAGAUCAGCAGUCAGCACUUCUGAAUGCGUCUCGUCUACACCAUGUGCUAUAUAGGCACCUCUACAUACCGUCCAUUCUCAUUACUUAGGGUACUUAUACCCUACAAAAUCACUGCAAACCUCGAACCUCUGCUUAAGACCUUUCACCUGGAGAAGACUCUACCAGAGAAGAUCAUCCCGCCUCAGUCAAUCUUUUAUUCUGUAUCUAUUUGCCAUACAUAAAUGGACUCGUUCAACUACUACUGUGGGCUGGUGCAUUCUCUUUAACUUAUCUGGGGGUGCUUAUGGGGAUGGG
This 467-nucleotide long non-coding RNA is filed under the name Macaca mulatta (Rhesus monkey). Its description in RNAcentral is "lncRNA (ENSMMUG00000061073.1)". Lineage: Eukaryota; Metazoa; Chordata; Mammalia; Primates; Cercopithecidae. The record is from RNAcentral.